UGUAAAGAAGGAACUGACUGGUGUUG
This 26-nucleotide non-coding RNA is filed under the name Mus musculus (house mouse). The record is from RNAcentral. Lineage: Eukaryota; Metazoa; Chordata; Mammalia; Rodentia; Muridae.